RNAcentral lists this ribosomal RNA (467 nucleotides) under uncultured bacterium. RNAcentral's name for it is "partial 16S ribosomal RNA". It matches the Rfam family "Bacterial small subunit ribosomal RNA", at positions 28 to 507 of the family's 1533-position model. The record is from RNAcentral.
GAUGAACGCUGGCGGCGUGCUUAACACAUGCAAGUCGAACGGAAAGGCCCAAGCUUGCUUGGGUACUCGAGUGGCGAACGGGUGAGUAACACGUGGGUGAUCUGCCCCGCACUUCGGGAUAAGCCUGGGAAACUGGGUCUAAUACCGGAUAGGACAGUGGUUUGGAUGCCAUUGUGGAAAGUUUUUUCGGUAUGGGAUGAGCUCGCGGCCUAUCAGCUUGUUGGUGGGGUAAUGGCCUACCAAGGCGUCGACGGGUAGCCGGCCUGAGAGGGUGUACGGCCACAUUGGGACUGAGAUACGGCCCAGACUCCUACGGGAGGCAGCAGUGGGGAAUAUUGCACAAUGGGCGCAAGCCUGAUGCAGCGACGCCGCGUGGGGGAUGACGGCCUUCGGGUUGUAAACUCCUUUCGCUAGGGACGAAGCGUUAUGUGACGGUACCUAGAGAAGAAGCACCGGCUAACUACGUG